Molecule: long non-coding RNA, 508 nt
Organism: Oncorhynchus gorbuscha (pink salmon)
Lineage: Eukaryota; Metazoa; Chordata; Actinopteri; Salmoniformes; Salmonidae
Exons: 3
Source: RefSeq, a predicted model, not a curated record
CACCCUCCAGGAGUCCCCAGGUCGACUGCCUCUCCGUACUCUACUGCUGGGUCUGGUUGACUGCAGGAAAACACCGGGGCAGAGUGGAACUGAGAGAGGAGAAGGAGAAGAGGAACAUGGAGAUAUGAUUUCAUUAAGGGACAUCCCUAAUCGUUGCUCUCUAAGUGGGAGGGGCUUAUCAUCUGGGGAGCCUCAACAACAUUAUGAUGCUGACAAGAAAGAGAAGAGUCUCUCCAGAUCAGAACACCUCAAACACCAGCAUAGAGGUGCUGGGUAGAGAUAUGAGGGGGAGACGGUCAUGACCCCAUCAGACCUUUUGGCAGAACGCUCAGAAUGUGUUCUAUAAUUUACAUGCAGGAACCAAAUGUUAAUGAUGAAUAAUGUAAAUCAUAACUUGUCUGUGUUACCAGUAUAUAAGAGGACUAACGGGACUGCCCCGAAAGAGCUCCUGACCGUAAGUUUGUUGGAAUCUCUCCAGCUGGCUGAUAAUAAAUAAUUAUUAAUUUAA